Molecule: long non-coding RNA, 205 nt
Organism: Telopea speciosissima
Lineage: Eukaryota; Viridiplantae; Streptophyta; Magnoliopsida; Proteales; Proteaceae
Exons: 3
Source: RefSeq, a predicted model, not a curated record
AAGAAAUGUUCGACCUGUUUGGAAGGUUGGGAGAUUGGUGAGGAGGCAAGGGAGAUGCCCUGUAAGCACAGAUUUCAUUCAAGUUGUAUAGAGAAGUGGUUAGGGAUGCAUGGGUCUUACCCUCUUUGCAGGUUUAAGAUGUCGACGGAUGUAGAGGAGUGUAGGAAGAGAGGUAGUGGUGAUUGUGAAGGGGAAGGUGAAGAUG